CCUCCAUUGCAUGUGUAGGGUGUCGUGUACCCUCCAUUGCAUAUGUAGGGUGUAGUGUACCCUCCAUUACAUGUGUAGGGUGUCGUGUACCCUCCAUUGCAUGCGUAGGGUGUUGUGUACCCUCCAUUGCAUGUGUAGGGUGUUGUGUACCCUCCAUUGCAUGUGUCGGGUGUCUGGCUCGGUGUUUACGGAGGACUCAGCCCUCGAUGCCGCCGUUCCAGACGCCCUGAAGUGAGGCUCAAUGAGUCGCGGAAUGAAUCGCUCUCUGAAGUGGCAUUGGGCGUCCGCCGCCAAUGGCGCCCUACAAUUUGGGUUUACUCGUAACGUACACUGAGGUCAGCUGGCGUUCCUCGUGAAGCCCGGACUGACAUCAGCAAAUGCUUUAAAGGAGCAGAAAGAGCAACUAAAAAAGGGACCGUAUCAAUUUUGACAGUAGAUUAAAUUAUAGGAGUCCCAAAACAAAGACACAAGGCAGUGGAGCUUUUUCAUAACAUAAAUAAUAAACAACCGUUUUAGUGACAUAAUUAUAAAGGAGUGUAUAAGCAAUAUAAAGAUGUGUGCUUCUUCCUUUAACCUCCAGACAGUCAAAAUAAAUACUGUAUUUCAUUUUAUCAUUCCCUUCCCACUGAUACGUUGAAAAAAAGAAAAAUGAAAAGGAGGCUGAUUAAUUAUCUAGAAUUCAUCUUUUCCCUAUUUGCCCAUGUUCCUUCAUAUGAUAAUGAGAUGGGCGUGUCCAUGUGUGUCCAGGGGAAGGGAUUGGUCCAGAAUCUGGAUCACUUACAGAAGAGAGCAGCUCCCCAGGGUGCGUCUGUUAACGAUGAGACAAAAGACGAAAAACAGUGAAAAAGAUAGACAGGGGGUCGGACAUGAUGGAUCUCGCCGUGGUCUUAGACGACCGGGGGACUCGGCGGACCCUCUGGGUCUCCGUGGGGCGACCCAGAUGUUUAUUGGCUACGUCGUGAGUCGUGUUACGGCGCUGCUCCGGCCAUGCUGUGUCCUCAUUGUCCACAGAGCUUCUUCUCUACUUCCAUAUGUUCAGUACUUCCGUUGUGUCGGUACACUUUUAUUUUGUUGAGACUUCUCAAAACUGUGCGCCUGUCCCUUUAAGACGCUCAGCUCUGUUGAAGAAGGCUCCCAAGGGGCCUUUCUUUUCAUACCUUACUUCUCUACAUCCAUCACUGGGACACAUCUCUCAUUUCUAAUGCAUUUCAUUUGUAUAAAUAAACAAAUUAAAAACACGA
Molecule: long non-coding RNA, 1241 nt
Organism: Pseudoliparis swirei
Lineage: Eukaryota; Metazoa; Chordata; Actinopteri; Perciformes; Liparidae
Exons: 2
Source: RefSeq, a predicted model, not a curated record